Molecule: long non-coding RNA, 1678 nt
Organism: Cyprinus carpio carpio
Lineage: Eukaryota; Metazoa; Chordata; Actinopteri; Cypriniformes; Cyprinidae
Source: Ensembl
CAUUUUAUUAGUAAGUUCCUAAAAAAAUGCUUUUAAUAAAACAUUACAUUUCUGCUGUAAAUCUGUCCAUUUUGGUAUCCCAUAGUGUAGUUACAGUGCAUAAAAGAUUGCUGUAUCAUUAAAGUCUCCUGUUGUUCUUUUGAAGCAUGUAAUGUAAUUCUACCUUUGCCAAGCAAUCUGUAUUGUGACAGUGCUGACCUUCACCCCAAGGAAGUUGAACUAUAUGUAGAUAAUACAUCUUUCAUGAAAAUGUCUGGGUACGGACGCUUACAGUUUUGAUCAAUUUGUGAGACAAAUAGUUUCAUAUUACUCAAGUCAUUAGCAAGUGUUUAUAACUCCAGUCCACGGAAGAUUUGAGCAUGAAACCAGCACCAUUUAAAUUCAAAUCAAAAAGUCUAUGUAUAAGUGGAAAUUGUUUACAUACAGUCACGUUUAUGUAUCUAUUGAAAUGAGUUCUUUUAUGUCCUUAUAAAAUAAAAAAUAUGAACUCUUUAUUCAUUUUUGUUUUCACACAAUUAUUUUGUUUAUGUGAAAACAUAAUUAAAAAUAAAAGAAAGAAAAGCAAAAUGUUUUAUCAUAUAUAUAACAAUGGAAAUCAACAAGCGAAAUGAUUUUUCCUGAUUGUAGUGGCUUUUGAUUUCAGAUGGUUACUCAUCAUAUUUCCAGACCACCAGAGUUUGCCAACUGCUCAUUUCCACCACAGGUACAUGGACACUGGCAGGAACAGUAGACUGAAUGAAGCGCUAAGUCUGGGAAUUCGAUUUGUGGUUAUCAGUGUGCUCUUAAUCAUACUACUAGUUGGGUUUGUUGUUGCUGCUGCUGUUGUAGUUGUUGUUGCUGUUGUUGUUGUUCUUGCUGCUGUUGUUGUUGCUGCUGCUGUUGUUGUUGUUGCUGUUGCUGCUGUUGUUGUUGGUGUUGCUGCUGUUGUUGUCGUUGUUGUUGUUGCUGUUGUUGUUGUUGCUGCUGCUGUUGUUGCUGCUGCUGCUGUUGCUGCUGCUGUUGUUGGUAUUGCUGCUGUUGUCGUCGUUGUUGUUGUUGCUGUUGUUGUUGGUGGUGUUGCUGAUGUUGUUGCUGCUGUCGUUGCUGUUGUCGUUGUUGCUGUUGCUGCUGCUAUUGUUGCUGUUGUUGUUGCUGUUGCUGCUGCUGCUGUUGUUUCUUCUGUGGUUGCAGUGGUAAUGCUGUGUAUGGUCGUAGAUUGUUUUUCUGUGGUGCUCUGAAAUGUGAAAUAAUGAGAUGAUUACCAUUGUAAAUCUUUUUGCUUACAGAACCACAUUACAAGACUGUACAGUCAGUGUAAUUAUACACAGACACACAGACAUGUGACAUGUGUGACAUCAUUCAUCCCCUCCUCUUUGUUAUUUUGAAUAUCAAAUAUUCAAAUCAUACACUUUGAAUAUGACAUCAGGCUUUUUUUCACUUAAAAUACUUUUUAAAAAUGUGAAUAUGAUAAUAUAAUGCUGUCUAAUUCUGUGUUUGCUAAACUAUUAUCAAAUUAAGUAUCUGCAAAAGUCACACAAAGAACGAAAUUGGCAUCAUUUAAAAUAACCUCUACCCAUUUAUUUAAAAAGCACCGUUUGACAUACAUUUGCACUAAUAGUAAUUGUUGUAUUUCAAAACCAGUUACACUCAUUAUUUAUGUGAAUCUUAGAUCAAUUUCCUUAAUAUUAAUGCACUUUUA